ACCCCAUAAAUCGCCAGAGAACUACAAGUGAAAUACUUCAAACUCAAAGGACUUGGCGGUGUCCCAUACCGACCUAGAGGAGCCUGUCCUGUAAUCGAUACCCCCCGUUCUACCCAACCUCUACUAGCACCCUCCAGCCUAUAUACCGCCGUCGACAGUCUACCCCAUGAGGGCCUAAUAGUAGACACAAUAGUUAACCCACUAAUACGUCAGGUCAAGGUGUAGCACAUGUUGAGGAAGAGAUUGGCUACAUUUUUUUUUCUAAAAAAUACGAAAUGCAACAUGAAACACUGCAUGAAGGUGAAUUUAGUAGUAAGAUCAAACAAGAGUGUUUAUCUUAACAACGCUCUGGGACGCGCACACACCGCCCG
Molecule: ribosomal RNA, 371 nt
Filed under: Eremias suphani (Basoglu's racerunner)
Lineage: Eukaryota; Metazoa; Chordata; Lepidosauria; Squamata; Lacertidae
Description: partial 12S ribosomal RNA
Rfam family: Bacterial small subunit ribosomal RNA
Source: RNAcentral